CCCAGACUCCUACGGGAGGCAGCAGUAGGGAAUCUUCGGCAAUGGACGAAAGUCUGACCGAGCAACGCCGCGUGAGUGAAGAAGGUUUUCGGAUCGUAAAACUCUGUUGUUAGAGAAGAACAAGGACGUUAGUAACUGAACGUCCCCUGACGGUAUCUAACCAGAAAGCCACGGCUAACUACGUGCCAGCAGCCGCGGUAAUACGUAGGUGGCAAGCGUUGUCCGGAUUUAUUGGGCGUAAAGCGAGCGCAGGCGGUUUCUUAAGUCUGAUGUGAAAGCCCCCGGCUCAACCGGGGAGGGUCAUUGGAAACUGGGAGACUUGAGUGCAGAAGAGGAGAGUGGAAUUCCAUGUGUAGCGGUGAAAUGCGUAGAUAUAUGGAGGAACACCAGUGGCGAAGGCGGCUCUCUGGUCUGUAACUGACGCUGAGGCUCGAAAGCGUGGGGAGCAAACAGGAUUAG
RNAcentral lists this ribosomal RNA (459 nucleotides) under Enterococcus faecalis. RNAcentral's name for it is "bacterial SSU rRNA". It matches the Rfam family "Bacterial small subunit ribosomal RNA", at positions 330 to 781 of the family's 1533-position model. The record is from RNAcentral. Lineage: Bacteria; Bacillati; Bacillota; Bacilli; Lactobacillales; Enterococcaceae.